UGGGGAAUAUUGCGCAAUGGGGGAAACCCUGACGCAGCGACGCCGUGUGAGGGAAGAAGGCUUUCGGGUCGUAAACCUCUGUCAGGAAGGAAGAACCUCUCAAGGCUGAACAAGCCUUGGGACUGACGGUACUUCCAGAGGAAGCACCGGCUAACUCCGUGCCAGCAACCGCGGUAAUACGGAGGGUGCAAGCGUUAAUCGGAAUCACUGGGCGUAAAGCGCGCGUAGGCCGUCUUUUAAGUCGGACGUGAAAGCCCUCGGCUCAACCGGGGAACUGCGUUCGAUACUGGGAGACUUGAGUCCUGGAGAGGGUGGCGGAAUUCCGGGUGUAGGAGUGAAAUCCGUAGAUAUCCGGAGGAACACCGGUGGCGAAGGCGGCCACCUGGACAGUUACUGACGCUGAGGCGCGAAAGCGUGGGGAGCAAACA
Molecule: ribosomal RNA, 428 nt
Filed under: uncultured bacterium
Lineage: Bacteria
Description: bacterial SSU rRNA
Rfam family: Bacterial small subunit ribosomal RNA
Source: RNAcentral